UAGCAAACUUUCGCAAAGGAAUGCAAGAGUGAGAGUCAAAAAAUGGAUUAUCUACUCCUUGAAUGUGACGUGAUUCCUCUGAAAUGCACUCAUAGAAGCGUGAAAGACAUUGAGGGAUGAACAGUAAUGGCAAUGAUGUGGGACAUUUGGAGUUUGGAAUAGUUGUUUAUUUAAAAUAUGAAGUUGGUUUGCUGAUUGUUCAAACCAUACGGAUAAAAAAAGACAAUACAGUUCAAGUUAAAAAUCAGUCAAUUAAUCCAUUUAAAUGUUCCGUUUUUAGCAAUUAAUUAGAGCUGCAGGUAGAUUUGACUUCAUUAGUAUGUAAGAUAUAAUGCGUUUUGAUGUUCCCAUGGCAAAAGCGAUAUAUUUUCGCAAAGAUUAUCACUAUGCACUGACCAUGCAGGCGUAAUGAUCACAAACAAAUACUCCUAAGCAUUUAACAAAGUCUAUAUUAUAGAUUGUCGAACUCUUCAA
Long non-coding RNA from Xenia sp. Carnegie-2017, 474 nucleotides. RefSeq lists it as uncharacterized. NCBI's taxonomy places the organism in Eukaryota, Metazoa, Cnidaria, Anthozoa, Malacalcyonacea, Xeniidae. The record is from RefSeq and is a predicted model, not a curated record. The transcript has 2 exons.